UUCCAAGACACAUAGAUUUUGUCAUCCUCCUCAGAAAUGCUUGCCAAUGCUACUAUUAGAAUAUAGUACUUAGACUAGUAUUAGUAAACGUAUUCCUUCAAGGAACUGAAACUCUUACUCAUACUUGAAAAAAAUUAAAGCUAGAGUAUAAAGGUAUAGGUAAAUCUAUAAUAGAAUACACAAACCAUGUAGUCUUCUCUAAUUAUGAAAGAAAUAACUCUAAUCUUAGAUUGUCGAGAACCCAGUGUUGCCUCUAGUCUAUAUUGCCAAAAGUUUGGAAAUGUCAUCUUAGACACAGGAAUCUAGAAGUGGAUAAAGAGCAGCAACAAAGCCCUUCAAAAGAGAGUAACUUACAACUAGUUAAAAGUGUCCUUCCUUCUACAAUAGCCCAGAGUGGAUAAUGCAGGGCUGUUCUACUAUCUUCACAUGUGGUUUUUAUCUGAAGAAUACACGUCUCUUCUAUGUCUUUCAUUUAUUCCCCAGCACGACAAGAAAAAGGAUAAGAAUAACAUAAUCUCAUCCUUCACUGGCACGACAUCGCUUCAGUUCCCACUGCACUGCCAAACUUAAUCACUAAAUCAUGCCAGCUGCAAAGAAGGUAGAGCAUAUGAUCCCCAGCCAGGCAGCAUGAACCGUGGAGGACAGGGAAUUUAUGUUACUGACAGAGGAAGCCGCAGGAUUUAGGUCUCGGGAAAAUGGACAUCGUGGUCAGAAAUGCAACAAGGACAGAGAAGAUCUGAAUAUUACUAACCUACUGAAUCUGGCUGAAAGUUAUAAAGCAUUCCACUUAGCAUUACCAGAACAUGUUUCUUUUGAUGUGCACAAGCAUUUAUUCUGAUAGACCUGAUGCUGAGUCAUAAAAUAACUUUAACAAGGUACAAGAAGUGAAAUCAUGCAAAACAUAGUCUCUGACCUUAAGAGAAUUCAACUAGAAGCCGGGAAGAGAAAAACAUCAGGAUAAGGUUCAAACAUUUGGAAUUUAUAAUGGGCUUCUAAAUAAUCUACCAGUCAAUGAAUAAGGUUCAAGA
Non-coding RNA from Peromyscus maniculatus bairdii (prairie deer mouse), 1028 nucleotides. The record is from RefSeq and is a predicted model, not a curated record. NCBI's taxonomy places the organism in Eukaryota, Metazoa, Chordata, Mammalia, Rodentia, Cricetidae.